AGGUAUGAGGGUGAUCUGGCUUUGACACCUGUCACCCCAUUGAUUGUCAGGGUUGAUUUGGUUGAUCUGGUUGGCUAGGCAGGUGUCCUCUUCCUCUCUCACUGGUCAGUGUGUAUCCCACCCCAAGCUGCACAAAGAGGAAGACUGUCCCUGAAUAGAGAUGCACUGGUCAUCAGUCAAGGGUAUACAAGUAGCUGUGCUUCCCUGCUAAAAUCUCCAAACAAGCUCUCAAGAUAAACUGCCAAACAUCAUUCCUGUCUUGGGGGUAAGGGAGGUGACAUUAACAUUUAAAUCAGUAGUCUAAGCUUAGGAGAUAGACUUCACUA
Unclassified non-coding RNA from Erinaceus europaeus (western European hedgehog), 326 nucleotides. Its record names the gene 7SK. It matches the Rfam family "7SK RNA". Rfam says of the family: 7SK was discovered as an abundant small nuclear RNA in the mid-70s but a possible function has only recently been suggested. Two independent studies have found that 7SK RNA binds the CDK9/cyclin T complex (known as elongation factor P-TEFb). P-TEFb activates transcription by phosphorylating the C-terminal domain of RNA polymerase II. Lineage: Eukaryota; Metazoa; Chordata; Mammalia; Eulipotyphla; Erinaceidae. The record is from Ensembl.